UCAAUAAGCGGAGGAAAAGAAACCAACAGGGAUUGCCCUAGUAACGGCGAGUGAAGCGGCAACAGCUCAAAUUUGAAAUCUGGGUCUUUCAGGCUCCGAGUUGUAAUUUGUAGAGGAUGCUUCGGCAAAGGGCCUGGGAUAAGUUCCUUGGAACAGGAUGCCUAAGAGGGUGAGAGCCCCGUAAUCCUGGGUACCGCUGCCAUGUGAAGCUCCUUCGACGAGUCGAGUUGUUUGGGAAUGCAGCUCUAAGCGGGAGGUAAAUUUCUUCUAAAGCUAAAUAUUGGCCAGAGACCGAUAGCGCACAAGUAGAGUGAUCGAAAGAUGAAAAGCACUUUGGAAAGAGAGUUAAAAAGCACGUGAAAUUGUUGAAAGGGAAGCAUAUACUGCCAGACUUGCCACAGUCGCUCAGCCGUAAGGCGUAUUCUUCUGUGGCAGGCCAGCGUCAGUUUGGGCGGCUCGAUAAAGGCCUUGGGACUUGCUUCGGCAAGGCCCUCGGUGACAUAGGGCCAGCCUAGACUGAGGACCGCGUCGCAAGGAUGCUGGCGUAAUGGCAGUAUGUGGCCCGUCUUGAAACACGGACCAAGGAGUCGACCAUCUAUGCGAGUAUUUGGGUGUUAAACCCAUAUGCGCAAUGAAAGUGAACGGAGGUGAGAGCUACGGCGCAUCAUCGACCGAUCCUGAUGUCUUCGGAUGGAUUUGAGUAAGAGCAUAGCUGGUCGGACCCGAAAGAUGGUGAACUAUGCCUGAAUAGGGUGAAGCCAGAGGAAACUCUGGUGGAGGCUCGCAGCGGUUCUGACGUGCAAAUCGAUCGUCAAAUUUGGGUAUAGGGGCGAAAGACUAAUCGAACCAUCUAGUAGCUGGUUCCUGCCGA
Molecule: ribosomal RNA, 871 nt
Filed under: Ramularia sp. CS2
Lineage: Eukaryota; Fungi; Ascomycota; Dothideomycetes; Mycosphaerellales; Mycosphaerellaceae
Description: eukaryotic LSU rRNA
Rfam family: Eukaryotic large subunit ribosomal RNA
Source: RNAcentral